Molecule: transfer RNA, 84 nt
Filed under: Streptomyces sp. 6-11-2
Lineage: Bacteria; Bacillati; Actinomycetota; Actinomycetes; Kitasatosporales; Streptomycetaceae
Description: tRNA-Asp
Rfam family: tRNA
About the family: Transfer RNA (tRNA) molecules are approximately 80 nucleotides in length. Their secondary structure includes four short double-helical elements and three loops (D, anti-codon, and T loops).
Source: RNAcentral
GGAGAGGUGCCCGGAGUGGUUUAUCGGGGCCGUGCUAUCGGUCGGGUCCUGGGCCCACGCAGGUUCGAAUCCUGCCCUCUCCGC